GAGUUUGAUCAUGGCUCAGAUUGAACGCUGGCGGCAUGCUUUACACAUGCAAGUCGAACGGUAACAGGGAGCUUGCUCCGCUGACGAGUGGCGAACGGGUGAGUAAUGCGUCGGAACGUGCCGAGUAGCGGGGGAUAACGCACCGAAAGGUGUGCUAAUACCGCAUACGAACUGAGGUUGAAAGUGGGGGACCUUCGGGCCUCACGCUAUUCGAGCGGCCGACGUCUGAUUAGCUAGUAGGUGAGGUAAAGGCUCACCUAGGCGACGAUCAGUAGCGGGUCUGAGAGGAUGAUCCGCCACACUGGGACUGAGACACGGCCCAGACUCCUACGGGAGGCAGCAGUGGGGAAUUUUGGACAAUGGGCGCAAGCCUGAUCCAGCCAUGC
RNAcentral lists this ribosomal RNA (386 nucleotides) under uncultured bacterium. RNAcentral's name for it is "bacterial SSU rRNA". It matches the Rfam family "Bacterial small subunit ribosomal RNA", at positions 9 to 397 of the family's 1533-position model. The record is from RNAcentral.